AAUAAGCAUCUUUUGUGUUUGUCCAAAAGUGCUAAAAACUUAAAUGCACCUUAUCUCUCCCUUCCAAUGCUCCAUUUCGGUUUCUCCACCAAGACAACCCUUCAAAACCUUUUCUUCACCAUACAUUAACGUGAAUACACCCCAAGGAACCAAGCAUCAACUUCAAAACAAGUCAUGAACAAUAAACCCAAACAUAUGCUACUUCAACCCAACCAAAUCUUCCAUUUCUUCAAGUUUCUUUGCAAAAACGAAAAUAAAUCCCAAGCCAUCAAUUCCAUCUCUGUCCAGCCACAAUAACAACCCCAAGAUCUGGUCCCAUCCUUGUUUCAAACAUCAAAACCGAAAAACAAGAAGAAAGAGUCCAAAUCACAACACCCACACAUCGACUUAAGCUCUCUUCAACCCAAAACUCACAUAGAACUCCAUUAUUAUCAUCCAACCAAGUAAAAUGCAAAGAAAAACCGUGAGAUACUGCAGCAAUGGAAGAGGAAAACGAAAAUAUAAAGUUACUCAAACCCAACAAUCACCAUGGAAAUGCAAAGACAAGCUCCAAAGCUCAAGCUUCAAACAUCAAGAACAAGCAAAUGGAAGUAGAAAUGAAUGGUUUUUCACCAAUAAUAAGCUAAGACAACCAAGAGCAAGUUAAGAGAAGAAGAAAAUCUGCAUCUCAUUCAUGGAAAAUGGCCAAAAUCCAAAGCACCAAGCAAGCU
This 710-nucleotide long non-coding RNA is filed under the name Vigna radiata. RNAcentral's name for it is "long non-coding RNA (VRAD_LNC014167)". The record is from RNAcentral. Lineage: Eukaryota; Viridiplantae; Streptophyta; Magnoliopsida; Fabales; Fabaceae.